This 253-nucleotide ribosomal RNA is filed under the name uncultured bacterium. RNAcentral describes it as "partial 16S ribosomal RNA". It matches the Rfam family "Bacterial small subunit ribosomal RNA", at positions 524 to 776 of the family's 1533-position model. The record is from RNAcentral.
UACGUAGGGGGCAAGCGUUGUCCGGAAUUAUUGGGCGUAAAGCGCGCGCAGGCGGUUUCUUAAGUCUGGUGUGAAAGCCCGCAGCUCAACUGCGGAGGGCCACUGGAAACUGGGAAGCUUGAGUGUAGGAGAGGAGAGCGGAAUUCCACGUGUAGCGGUGAAAUGCGUAGAGAUGUGGAGGAACACCUGUGGCGAAAGCGGCUCUCUGGCCUAUAACUGACGCUGAGGCGCGAAAGCGUGGGGAGCAAACAGG